This 572-nucleotide long non-coding RNA is filed under the name Homo sapiens (human). RNAcentral's name for it is "non-protein coding lnc-MRPL1-1:1". Lineage: Eukaryota; Metazoa; Chordata; Mammalia; Primates; Hominidae. The record is from RNAcentral.
AUGGGUAAAGUAGAUCCUAAGAAACCAAGAGGCAAAAUGUCAUCAUAUGUGUUCUUUGUGCCAUCUUGUCAGGAGGAGCACAAGAAGGAGCACCCAGAUGCCUCAGUCAGCUCCUCAGAGUUUUCUGAGAAGUGCUGAGAGGUGAAAGACUACUUCUGCUAAAGCAAAAGGAAAAUUGGAAGACAUGACAAAGGUAGGUAAAGCCCAUUAUGAAAGAGAAAUGAAAACUUAUAUCCCUCCUAAAGGGGAGACAAAAAAGAAGUUCAAGGAUCCCAAUACACUCAAGAGGCCUUCUUCAGCCUUUUUUCUUGUUCUGUUCUGAGUAUCACCCAAAAAUCAAAGAACAUCCUGGCCUAAACAUUGGUGAUGUUGCAAAGAUGCUGGGAGAGAUGUGGAAUGGCACUGCUGCAGAUGACUAGCAGCCUUAUACAAAGAACGCUGCGAAGCUCAAGGAAAAAUGUGAAAAAGAUACUGCUGCAUACUGAGCUAAAGGAAAGCCAGAUGCAGCAAAAAGGGAGUUGUCAAGGCUGAAAAAAGCAAGAAAGAGAAGAAAGAAGAGGACAAGAAGAUGA